Molecule: ribosomal RNA, 791 nt
Filed under: uncultured archaeon
Lineage: Archaea
Description: bacterial SSU rRNA
Rfam family: Archaeal small subunit ribosomal RNA
Source: RNAcentral
ACGGCUCAGUAACACGUAGUCAACAUGCCCAGGGGACGUGGAUAACCUCGGGAAACUGAGGAUAAACCGCGAUAGGUCAUCACUUCUGGAAUGGGUAAUGACUUAAAUCUAUAUGGCCCCUGGAUUGGACUGCGGCCGAUCAGGCUGUUGGUGAGGUAAUGGCCCACCAAACCUGUAACCGGUACGGGCUCUGAGAGGAGGAGCCCGGAGAUGGGCACUGAGACAAGGGCCCAGGCCCUAUGGGGCGCAGCAGGCGCGAAACCUCUGCAAUAGGCGAAAGCUUGACAGGGUUACUCUGAGUGAUUUCCGUUAAGGAGAUCUUUUGGCACCUCUAAAAAUGGUGCAGAAUAAGGGGUGGGCAAGUCUGGUGUCAGCCGCCGCGGUAAUACCAGCACCCCGAGUGGUCGGGACGUUUAUUGGGCCUAAAGUAUCCGUAGCCGGUUCUACAAGUCUUCCGUUAAAUCCACCUGCUUAACAGAUGGGCUGCGGAAGAUACUAUAGAGCUAGGAGGCGGGAGAGGCAAGCGGUACUCGAUGGGUAGGGGUAAAAUCCGUUGAUCCAUUGAAGACCACCAGUGGCGAAGGCGGCUUGCCAGGACGCGCUCGACGGUGAGGGAUGAAAGCUGGGGGAGCAAACCGGAUUAGAUACCCGGGUAGUCCCAGCUGUAAACGAUGCAGACUCGGUGAUGAGUUGGCUUAUUGCUAACUCAGUGCCGCAGGGAAGCCGUUAAGUUUGCCGCCUGGGGAGUACGGUCGCAAGACUGAAACUUAAAGGAAUUGGCGGGGGAGCAC